UACGAAGGGGGCUAGCGUUGCUCGGAAUCACUGGGCGUAAAGCGCACGUAGGCGGCUUUCUAAGUCAGGGGUGAAAUCCUGGAGCUCAACUCCAGAACUGCCCUUGAUACUGAGAAUCUUGAGUCCGGGAGAGGUGAGUGGAACUGCGAGUGUAGAGGUGAAAUUCGUAGAUAUUCGCAAGAACACCAGUGGCGAAGGCGGCUCACUGGCCCGGUACUGACGCUGAGGUGCGAAAGCGUGGGGAGCAAACAGG
RNAcentral lists this ribosomal RNA (253 nucleotides) under uncultured bacterium. RNAcentral describes it as "partial 16S ribosomal RNA". It matches the Rfam family "Bacterial small subunit ribosomal RNA", at positions 524 to 776 of the family's 1533-position model. The record is from RNAcentral.